GAUUUCUGACAUUAAUGCGCUUGGCCGGCCACGGUUACGUGUGUCAGUGCCGAGUCGUGUUUGUCAUCCUUCUAGCGCAUGUCCAUUUGCUCUUCAUUGAGUGAGUUGGUCAUUCUCGUGCUAGAUCUUUUACUUUGAAAAAAUUAGAGUGUUUAAAGCAGGCGUUUGCUAUGAAUACAUUAGCAUGGAAUAAUAAUUUAGGACUUCGGUUCUAUUUUGUUGGUUUCUAGAACUGAAGUAAUGAUUGAUAGGGAUGGUUGGGGGUGCUCGUAUUCAGUGGCCAGAGGUGAAAUUCUUGGAUUCACUGAAGACGAACUUAUGCGAAAGCAUU
Molecule: ribosomal RNA, 331 nt
Filed under: uncultured Allapsidae
Lineage: Eukaryota; Cercozoa; Glissomonadida; Viridiraptoridae
Description: SSU rRNA
Rfam family: Eukaryotic small subunit ribosomal RNA
Source: RNAcentral